GACGAACGCUGGCGGCGUGCUUAACACAUGCAAGUCGAACGGAAAGGCCCUGCUUUUGUGGGGUGCUCGAGUGGCGAACGGGUGAGUAACACGUGAGUAACCUGCCCUUGACUUUGGGAUAACUUCAGGAAACUGGGGCUAAUACCGGAUAGGAGCUCCUGCUGCAUGGUGGGGGUUGGAAAGUUUCGGCGGUUGGGGAUGGACUCGCGGCUUAUCAGCUUGUUGGUGGGGUAGUGGCUUACCAAGGCUUUGACGGGUAGCCGGCCUGAGAGGGUGACCGGACGGACGGUGUGGGAGGCAGCGCGCAGGCGGCUGCGGGGGCGGGCGGUGGUGCGGAUGGGACGAGGGGCGGAGGGCGGGGGAGGAGGGGCGGGUGGCGGGUCGACGGGUGUGGGUCGGUACUCGGUUGUGCCGUGGGAGGAAUCGUGAGGGUCGGUCGUGGAAAAAGAAGCACCGGCUAACCACGGAACAGCAGGGUGGGUAAUAAACGGAGGACAACACGGUUCCCC
This 509-nucleotide ribosomal RNA is filed under the name uncultured bacterium. RNAcentral's name for it is "partial 16S ribosomal RNA". The stretch from base 21 to 331 matches the Rfam family "Bacterial small subunit ribosomal RNA", at positions 48 to 357 of the family's 1533-position model. The record is from RNAcentral.